Molecule: small RNA, 28 nt
Filed under: Bombyx mori (domestic silkworm)
Lineage: Eukaryota; Metazoa; Arthropoda; Insecta; Lepidoptera; Bombycidae
Description: ovarian small RNA-9885
Source: RNAcentral
AAAAGUCAGGAUACCCUAGGAUAGGAGC